CGGAGGAAGAGGGCGGUGGGCGGCAGCUCCACCGGCAGGGGCGACAUCGGCACUGACCUUCCUGCAGGUGGGUCGCUGCUCGAGCUGGAGCGAAGGGAGCGAGGCGGCCUUGAACUCAGCAGCAGGACUCCCCACUUGGGGGACUUUGAGCUUGAGGGGGUGUGCCAGCUGCCAGACCAGUCGCCUCCCAGGGACAGUGCGUCUCAGGCUGAGGAAGCCUCCUCCUGGGGACAGUUUGGGUUGGGUUCCAGGAAGAGGCUCCUUCCUGCUGAGGAUGAAGCGGAGUGUCAAGCCAAGAGAGUGUGUGAGGAGCAGCGAGGAGACGCAGAGCUUGGCAGGAGCGAGGAGCCGUCUCCAGGUGCCGGUGGGCGGCACCUCCCCUCCAUGGGGGACGACGACGUGUUCGUUCCAGGUGAGUCUGGCUGGCAGUGUGGGGCAAGGAGGCAUCAGGAGGCUGCUUUGUCGGGGGCACCACGGGACCGUGCUCACCUUGUACCCUGGCCGUAGGUUCCACGCCCCCGCCUGGCUGUGCGCUGCGGAGCUGCCUCUCGGCCAGCGGCCUGCAGGCCCUCACCCAGUCCCCGCUGCUGUUCCCAGGGAGGACACCUUCCUCGCAGGAUCCCGAUGCCAGAGAUGAGGAUAUGGGGGUGCUCCCCUCCACGGCCGAAGAAUCUCCUUUCAGCCGAGCGUUCUCCAGGAGACGCCCCGUCAGCAGAACUUACACUCGGAAGAAGCUGAUGAGCUAGUUGCGCCGGAAGUGCUGGAGGGGCUUAAACCUACGCGCACUACUGAGCCUGGCCAGAGCCGCUGCCUUCGGGGGCGGACAAAGCGCUCCGAGAGCCAUUUUCUCUGGCUGUGUUGGGAAUUCCAGGCUCCAAGCCUAGAGGAAUUCUUACCCCAGAAAGUCCGUGCAUCUGAGCCAGGGCCUGACUCAUCUGGCCUGCGUCCCCCUGGGCUCGCUGCAUAGAAACAGGAAUAGGCAGGGCUCCCUGGAACGGAGGAAGCUCAAGACGAAGCCAGCCCGCUCCCCGUGGGCCUGCAGGUACUAGGGCCCGGGCCGCUCUUCUGUGUCAGCUCCGGUUCCCACAGGAGUCCCUUAGGGGUUUUAAUCCCCCUCCUGGGCUGCAUUCCUCCCAGCCCUGCCCCCGGUUAGGGAGGGGGUAAGGCGGGUGCUCUAACAGCCUGGGAGGCAGACGGAAUUCUAAGAGCAGGCUCCCAUUCCAGCCCCCGCCUCUGAGAGACCAAGGUCAGUCCAACAACCCCUCCCCUCACUUGUGAAGUGGGAGAAAGGGCUCCUCACGGGUCCCUCACAAAGCUGAAGCCUGCGUCCGACAGCAGAAUAAAUUUCUUACUUUCCCCA
RNAcentral lists this long non-coding RNA (1360 nucleotides) under Ursus americanus (American black bear). RNAcentral describes it as "lncRNA (ENSUAMG00000022824.1)". The record is from RNAcentral. Lineage: Eukaryota; Metazoa; Chordata; Mammalia; Carnivora; Ursidae.